This 488-nucleotide ribosomal RNA is filed under the name uncultured bacterium. RNAcentral's name for it is "partial 16S ribosomal RNA". It matches the Rfam family "Bacterial small subunit ribosomal RNA", at positions 30 to 507 of the family's 1533-position model. The record is from RNAcentral.
AUUGAACGCUGGCGGCAGGCCUAACACAUGCAAGUCGAACGGUAGCACAGAGAGCUUGCUCUCGGGUGACGAGUGGCGGACGGGUGGGUAAUGUCUGGGAAACUGCCCGAUGGCGGGGGAUAACUACUGGAAACGGUAGCUAAUACCGCAUAAUGUCGCAAGACCAAAGAGGGGGACCUUCGGGCCUCUUGCCAUCGGAUGUGCCCAGAUGGGAUUAGCUAGUUGGUGAGGUAAUGGCUCACCAAGGCGACGAUCCCUAGCUGGUCUGAGAGGAUGACCAGCCACACUGGAACUGAGACACGGUCCAGACUCCUACGGGAGGCAGCAGUGGGGAAUAUUGCACAAAGGGCGCAAGCCUGAUGCAGCCAUGCCGCGUGUAUGAAGAAGGCCUUCGGGUUGUAAAGUACUUUCAGCGGGGAGGAAGGCGAUACGGUUAAUAACCGUAUUGAUUGACGUUACCCGCAGAAGAAGCACCGGCUAACUCCGUG